AUCUGGGCGGCGAUAGCUCAACAAGACAGAGCAGCCCUCCUGCCGGCCAUAGCUUCUUUUGCUGUUGAUGAGCAAGAAGAGAAUUAAAAACUGCAACAAUAUGAUGGGGUUGCACUCCCAUGAUUCAUCACAAACCUCUGAUGAUCCAUCUUAUAUUUUAUAACGAAUACCGUGUAAUUUAUUAUACGUUUUUUUUUUUUUUUUUUCGAUCGUUCAGUAUCUAGUGAUUUUCGCGAGUUGGGAUAUGAUGCAAAUUAUGGUCCGUGUUUCUGAAUGUAUUGUGACUGAAUCUGUUAUACCAAUUCUGAUCCCAAAGUAAGCAAAUUAAGAGAGUUUUCUGUGAUGCCCUUUUUAUA
Molecule: long non-coding RNA, 356 nt
Organism: Zingiber officinale
Lineage: Eukaryota; Viridiplantae; Streptophyta; Magnoliopsida; Zingiberales; Zingiberaceae
Exons: 2
Source: RefSeq, a predicted model, not a curated record